RNAcentral lists this ribosomal RNA (371 nucleotides) under uncultured bacterium. RNAcentral describes it as "bacterial SSU rRNA". It matches the Rfam family "Bacterial small subunit ribosomal RNA", at positions 523 to 898 of the family's 1533-position model. The record is from RNAcentral.
AUACAUAGGGGGCAAGCGUUAUCCGGAAUUAUUGGGCGUAAAGCGUGCGUAGGCGGCUUAUUAAGUCUGACGUGAAAUUCCACAGCUUAACUGUGGAGGGUCGUUGGAAACUGGUAGGCUUGAGUACAGUAGAGGUAAGUGGAAUUCCAAGUGGAGCGGUGGAAUGCGUAGAUAUUUGGAGGAACACCAGUGGCGAAGGCGGCUUACUGGGCUGGAACUGACGCUGAUGCACGAAAGCGUGGGGAGCAAACAGGAUUAGAUACCCUGGUAGUCCACGCCGUAAACGUUGAGCACUAAGUGUCGGAUGUAUUUUCGGCGCUGCAGUUAACACAAUAAGUGCUCCGCCUGGGGAGUACGGUCGCAAGACUGAA